This 2900-nucleotide ribosomal RNA is filed under the name Klebsiella pneumoniae UCI 34. RNAcentral's name for it is "bacterial LSU rRNA". It matches the Rfam family "Bacterial large subunit ribosomal RNA". Lineage: Bacteria; Pseudomonadati; Pseudomonadota; Gammaproteobacteria; Enterobacterales; Enterobacteriaceae. The record is from RNAcentral.
UUAAGCGACUAAGCGUACACGGUGGAUGCCCUGGCAGUCAGAGGCGAUGAAGGACGUGCUAAUCUGCGAAAAGCGUCGGUAAGGUGAUAUGAACCGUUAUAGCCGGCGAUGUCCGAAUGGGGAAACCCAGUGCAAUUCGUUGCACUAUCGUUAACUGAAUACAUAGGUUAACGAGGCGAACCGGGGGAACUGAAACAUCUAAGUACCCCGAGGAAAAGAAAUCAACCGAGAUUCCCCCAGUAGCGGCGAGCGAACGGGGAGCAGCCCAGAGUCUGAAUCAGCUUGUGUGUUAGUGGAACGGUCUGGAAAGUCCGACGGUACAGGGUGAUAGUCCCGUACACCAAAAUGCACAGGCUGUGAACUCGAAGAGUAGGGCGGGACACGUGGUAUCCUGUCUGAAUAUGGGGGGACCAUCCUCCAAGGCUAAAUACUCCUGACUGACCGAUAGUGGACCAGUACCGUGAGGGAAAGGCGAAAAGAACCCCGGCGAGGGGAGUGAAAAAGAACCUGAAACCGUGUACGUACAAGCAGUGGGAGCACCUUCGGGUGUGACUGCGUACCUUUUGUAUAAUGGGUCAGCGACUUAUAUUCUGUAGCAAGGUUAACCGUAUAGGGGAGCCGCAGGGAAACCGAGUCUUAACUGGGCGUUAAGUUGCAGGGUAUAGACCCGAAACCCGGUGAUCUAGCCAUGGGCAGGUUGAAGGUUGGGUAACACUAACUGGAGGACCGAACCGACUAAUGUUGAAAAAUUAGCGGAUGACUUGUGGCUGGGGGUGAAAGGCCAAUCAAACCGGGAGAUAGCUGGUUCUCCCCGAAAGCUAUUUAGGUAGCGCCUCGUGAACUCAUCUUCGGGGGUAGAGCACUGUUUCGGCUAGGGGGUCAUCCCGACUUACCAACCCGAUGCAAACUACGAAUACCGAAGAAUGUUAUCACGGGAGACACACGGCGGGUGCUAACGUCCGUCGUGAAGAGGGAAACAACCCAGACCGCCAGCUAAGGUCCCAAAGUCAUGGUUAAGUGGGAAACGAUGUGGGAAGGCACAGACAGCCAGGAUGUUGGCUUAGAAGCAGCCAUCAUUUAAAGAAAGCGUAAUAGCUCACUGGUCGAGUCGGCCUGCGCGGAAGAUGUAACGGGGCUAAACCAUGCACCGAAGCUGCGGCAGCGACACUAUGUGUUGUUGGGUAGGGGAGCGUUCUGUAAGCCUGCGAAGGUGUGCUGUGAGGCAUGCUGGAGGUAUCAGAAGUGCGAAUGCUGACAUAAGUAACGAUAAAGCGGGUGAAAAGCCCGCUCGCCGGAAGACCAAGGGUUCCUGUCCAACGUUAAUCGGGGCAGGGUGAGUCGACCCCUAAGGCGAGGCCGAAAGGCGUAGUCGAUGGGAAACAGGUUAAUAUUCCUGUACUUGGUGUUACUGCGAAGGGGGGACGGAGAAGGCUAUGUUAGCCGGGCGACGGUUGUCCCGGUUUAAGCAUGUAGGCUGGUUGUCCAGGCAAAUCCGGAUAAUCAAGGCUGAGGUGUGAUGACGAGGCACUACGGUGCUGAAGUAACAAAUGCCCUGCUUCCAGGAAAAGCCUCUAAGCAUCAGGUAACAUCAAAUCGUACCCCAAACCGACACAGGUGGUCAGGUAGAGAAUACCAAGGCGCUUGAGAGAACUCGGGUGAAGGAACUAGGCAAAAUGGUGCCGUAACUUCGGGAGAAGGCACGCUGGUGUGUAGGUGAAGUCCCUGCGGAUGGAGCUGAGACCAGUCGAAGAUACCAGCUGGCUGCAACUGUUUAUUAAAAACACAGCACUGUGCAAACACGAAAGUGGACGUAUACGGUGUGACGCCUGCCCGGUGCCGGAAGGUUAAUUGAUGGGGUUAUCCGUAAGGAGAAGCUCUUGAUCGAAGCCCCGGUAAACGGCGGCCGUAACUAUAACGGUCCUAAGGUAGCGAAAUUCCUUGUCGGGUAAGUUCCGACCUGCACGAAUGGCGUAAUGAUGGCCAGGCUGUCUCCACCCGAGACUCAGUGAAAUUGAACUCGCUGUGAAGAUGCAGUGUACCCGCGGCAAGACGGAAAGACCCCGUGAACCUUUACUAUAGCUUGACACUGAACAUUGAGCCUUGAUGUGUAGGAUAGGUGGGAGGCUUUGAAGCGUGGACGCCAGUCUGCGUGGAGCCAACCUUGAAAUACCACCCUUUAAUGUUUGAUGUUCUAACGUUGGCCCCUUACCGGGGUUGCGGACAGUGUCUGGUGGGUAGUUUGACUGGGGCGGUCUCCUCCCAAAGCGUAACGGAGGAGCACGAAGGUUAGCUAAUCCUGGUCGGACAUCAGGAGGUUAGUGCAAUGGCAUAAGCUAGCUUGACUGCGAGCGUGACGGCGCGAGCAGGUGCGAAAGCAGGUCAUAGUGAUCCGGUGGUUCUGAAUGGAAGGGCCAUCGCUCAACGGAUAAAAGGUACUCCGGGGAUAACAGGCUGAUACCGCCCAAGAGUUCAUAUCGACGGCGGUGUUUGGCACCUCGAUGUCGGCUCAUCACAUCCUGGGGCUGAAGUAGGUCCCAAGGGUAUGGCUGUUCGCCAUUUAAAGUGGUACGCGAGCUGGGUUUAGAACGUCGUGAGACAGUUCGGUCCCUAUCUGCCGUGGGCGCUGGAGAAUUGAGGGGGGCUGCUCCUAGUACGAGAGGACCGGAGUGGACGCAUCACUGGUGUUCGGGUUGUCAUGCCAAUGGCACUGCCCGGUAGCUAAAUGCGGAAGAGAUAAGUGCUGAAAGCAUCUAAGCACGAAACUUGCCCCGAGAUGAGUUCUCCCUGAGACUAUAAGUCUCCUGAAGGAACGUUAAAGACGAUGACGUUGAUAGGCCGGGUGUGUAAGCGCAGCGAUGCGUUGAGCUAACCGGUACUAAUGAACCGUGAGGCUUAACCUU